This 596-nucleotide ribosomal RNA is filed under the name Globisporangium kunmingense. RNAcentral describes it as "eukaryotic LSU rRNA". Lineage: Eukaryota; Oomycota; Peronosporomycetes; Pythiales; Pythiaceae. The record is from RNAcentral.
AACUGACUUAUUUUUUCAAACCCCAUACCUAAAUGACUGAUUAUACUGUGAGAACGAAAGUUCUUGCUUUAAACUAGAUAACAACUUUCAGCAGUGGAUGUCUAGGCUCGCACAUCGAUGAAGAACGCUGCGAACUGCGAUACGUAAUGCGAAUUGCAGAAUUCAGUGAGUCAUCGAAAUUUUGAACGCAUAUUGCACUUCCGGGUUAUACCUGGAAGUAUGUCUGUAUCUUUUUUGUAUCUGCGUGGUGCUGUGUGUGAACGCGGUGGUUUUCGGAUCGCUCGCGGCUAUCGGCGACUUCGGUGAAUGCAUUAUGGAGUGGACCUCGAUUCGCGGUAUGUUGGGCUUCGGCUGGACAAUGUUGCUUAUUGUGUGUUUGUUCCGUGUUCGCCUUGAGGUGUACUGGUAGUUGUGGGAUUGAACUGGUUACUGUUGUUAGUAGUGUGUAGUGCGUUGUCGUGGAUGCAUCUGUCUUUUGUGCACUUUUGUGUGUGCAGYUGAUAGAAGAGGAGUUWGAAUUURRGAAAUUAGUGUACUGUGGGUUAAUCCUGCGUGUAUAUCUCAAUUGGACCUGAUAUCAGACAAGACUACCCGCU